Molecule: transfer RNA, 65 nt
Filed under: Sinotmethis amicus
Lineage: Eukaryota; Metazoa; Arthropoda; Insecta; Orthoptera; Pamphagidae
Description: tRNA-Arg
Source: RNAcentral
AAAUAAGAAGCGAAAAAUUGCAAUCAGUUUCGACCUGACAUUUGGCAUAAAAAUGACCUUCAUUA